UUAAUGGUGUUUUUAAACACCACCAAUGACAUUUUGACACUUCAGU
Cephalotus follicularis is the source of this 46-nucleotide non-coding RNA. NCBI's taxonomy places the organism in Eukaryota, Viridiplantae, Streptophyta, Magnoliopsida, Oxalidales, Cephalotaceae. The record is from Rfam.